RNAcentral lists this ribosomal RNA (255 nucleotides) under uncultured bacterium. Its description in RNAcentral is "partial 16S ribosomal RNA". It matches the Rfam family "Bacterial small subunit ribosomal RNA", at positions 524 to 776 of the family's 1533-position model. The record is from RNAcentral.
UACGUAGGGUGCAAGCGUUAAUCGGAAUUACUGGGCGUAAAGCGUGCGCAGGCGGUUCGCUAAGACCGAUGUGAAAUCCCCGGGCUUAACCUGGGAACUGCAUUGGUGACUGGCAGGCUUUGAGUGUGGCAGAGGGAGGUAGAAUUCCACGUGUAGCAGUGAAAUGCGUAGAGAUGUGGAGGAAUACCGAUGGCGAAGGCAGCCUCCUGGGCCAACACUGACGCUCGAUGCACGAAAGCGUGGGGAGCAAACAGG